Molecule: ribosomal RNA, 264 nt
Filed under: uncultured bacterium
Lineage: Bacteria
Description: partial 16S ribosomal RNA
Rfam family: Bacterial small subunit ribosomal RNA
Source: RNAcentral
GUCCACGCCGUAAACGGUGCGCACUAGGUGUCGGGGGUAUUCACCCCUCCGGUGCCGCAGCUAACGUAUUAAGUGCGCCGCCUGGGAAGUACGGCCGCAAGGCUAAAACUCAAAGGAAUUGACGGGGGCCCGCACAAGCGGUGGAGCAUGUGGUUCAAUUCGAUGCAACGCGAAGAACCUUACCUGGUCUUGACAUCCCGGGAAUCUCCCUGAAAGGGGAGAGUGCCUUCGGGAACCCGGUGACAGGUGCUGCAUGGCUGUCGU